Molecule: long non-coding RNA, 990 nt
Filed under: Mytilus galloprovincialis (Mediterranean mussel)
Lineage: Eukaryota; Metazoa; Mollusca; Bivalvia; Mytilida; Mytilidae
Source: RNAcentral
CACAGUCAUUAGAGAUAAUUAAGAUAUGUCAUAUGUAUUUACAGCUUUAAUUAACAUCUGUCAUACAUGUAGGUUUUCCCACCUUUAAUUAAAAUCUAUUAUGUUUUUCUCAGCUUUAACGACCAUGUCAUGGCCAUUUUCAACUUUAUUUAAAAUUUAUUAUGGUUUUUUCUCAGCUUUAACCACUAUGUCAUGGCCAUUUUCCACUUAAAUUAAAAUCUGUUGUUUUUUAACAGCUUUAACGACCAUUUUAUGGCCAUUUUCCACUUUUAAUUAACUUCUGCCAUGGGUAUGUUUUUUAUUAGCUUCAACUAAUUCAUAUUCAUUUACAGCUUUAAUUAACAUUUGCUAAUUUGCUAUAGGUAUUUUUAUCUUUAAUUAAGAUCUGUCAUGGUUUUGUUUGCCAUUAAUUAACAUUUAUCAUGGGUACUUUUACCUUUAAAAAAGAUCUGUCAUGGUUUCGUUCACCUUUAAUUAACUAACAUCUAUCAUGGGUACUUUAAUUUACCUUUAAUUAAUAUCUGUCAUUGUUUUGUUCACCAUUAAUUAACAUUUAUCAUGGGUAAUUUUAUCUUUAAUUAAGAUCUGUCAUUGUUUUGUUCACCAUUAAUUAACAUUUAUCAUGGGUAAUUUUAUCUUUAAUUAAGAUCUGUCAUUGUUUUGUUCACCAUUAAUUAACAUUUAUCAUGGGAACUUUUACCUUUAAUUAAGAUCUGUCAUGGUUUUGUUCCCCAUUAAUUAACAUCUAUCAUGGGUACUUUUACCUUUAAUUAAGAUCUGUCAUGGUUUCAUUCGCCACUAAUAAACAUCUAUCAUGGGUACUUUACCUUUAAUUCAAAUCUUUUAUUGGUUUAAAGCUUUAACUAAUAUGUCAUAAGUACAACAAACACAUCAAGAAGCAAUUUGGUUAACAGGUAUAAUACUGCAUGUGUAGUGGAUAAAAUCGAUAUUAAUUAACAAGUUUUAACUUUUGUUACAGUUAAGUUUUUU